RNAcentral lists this ribosomal RNA (580 nucleotides) under Zecicindela brevilunata. Its description in RNAcentral is "partial 16S ribosomal RNA". It matches the Rfam family "Bacterial large subunit ribosomal RNA", at positions 1927 to 2739 of the family's 2925-position model. Lineage: Eukaryota; Metazoa; Arthropoda; Insecta; Coleoptera; Carabidae. The record is from RNAcentral.
AUGGCCGCAGUAUUUUGACUGUGCAAAGGUAGCAUAAUUAUUAGUUUUUUAAUUGAAAGCUUGUAUGAAGGGUUGGACGAGAUAAAAUCUGUCUUUAUUUAAAUUAAAAUAGAAUUUAACUUUUAAGUCAAAAGGCUUAAAUGUUUAUAAAAGACGAGAAGACCCUAUAGAUCUUUAUUAAAUUUAAGCUUUGAUAAUUUAAGAUUACUUUAAUUUAAAGCUUUAAUUUAAUUUUAUUGGGGUAAUAUAAAGAUUAAAUAAAUUCUUUUUAUUAAUUACAUUAAUUUAUGUAUAUAUGAUCCAUUAUUAUUGAUUAUAAGAUUAAGUUACCUUAGGGAUAACAGCGUAAUUUUUUUGGAGAGCCCAUAUCGAUAAAAAAGUUUGCGACCUCGAUGUUGGAUUAAAAAUUAGCUUGGGUGUAGAAGCUCAAGAUUUUGGUCUGUUCGACCAUUAAAUUUUUACAUGAUCUGAGUUCAGACCGGCGUAAGCCAGGUCGGUUUCUAUCUUUAUUUAAAUAAAAUAUUUUAGUACGAAAGGACCAAGUAUUUAAUAUAAUUAUAUUUAUUUUUUGAAUAAUAUU